UACGUAGGGACCAAGCGUUGUUCGGAUUUACUGGGCGUAAAGGGCGCGUAGGCGGCAUGACAAGUCACUUGUGAAAUCUCCGGGCUUAACUCGGAACGGCCAAGUGAUACUGUCACGCUAGAGUGCAGAAAGGGCAAUCGGAAUUCUUGGUGUAGCAGUGAAAUGCGUAGAUAUCGGGAGGAACACCGGUGGCGAAGGCGGCCCCCUGGUUGGAUACUGACGCUGAGACGCGAAAGCGUGGGGAGCAAACAGG
RNAcentral lists this ribosomal RNA (253 nucleotides) under uncultured bacterium. RNAcentral's name for it is "partial 16S ribosomal RNA". It matches the Rfam family "Bacterial small subunit ribosomal RNA", at positions 524 to 776 of the family's 1533-position model. The record is from RNAcentral.